This 253-nucleotide ribosomal RNA is filed under the name uncultured bacterium. RNAcentral's name for it is "partial 16S ribosomal RNA". It matches the Rfam family "Bacterial small subunit ribosomal RNA", at positions 524 to 776 of the family's 1533-position model. The record is from RNAcentral.
UACGUAGGGGGCGAGCGUUGUCCGGAAUCAUUGGGCGUAAAGAGCGUGUAGGCGGCCAGACAAGUCUGCUGUGAAAACUCGAGGCUCAACCUCGAGCUGUCGGUGGAAACUGUCUGGCUAGAGUCCGGAAGAGGAGAGUGGAAUUCCUGGUGUAGCGGUGAAAUGCGCAGAUAUCAGGAAGAACACCCGUGGCGAAGGCGGCUCUCUGGGACGGUACUGACGCUGAGACGCGAAAGCGUGGGGAGCGAACAGG